AACUUGCAAAGCCCAAAGAGGAAGCACACAGGAAGCUUCCCAACCGCGUAAAUAGGAGAAUCCUGCCUUCCAUUUACGCGAUUACUGCAUCUUUAAAUACGAUAAUCAUGUCGUGAGUGCGAAGCAGGAAAUCAAGGACGCGUUCCCCACACAGCCAUCCAAACCAAAGAUGCGUUUCCGAUAAAGCCAUGAGAUUUUAAAGAGGAAGCGUCCGACAACAAUGGAGAUAAACGCUAGGAUGAGACGGUUGAGAGCAGAGAUGGCGGAGAUAAGUAACGAACAAAAAUCAAUUAGAGAGGCACAAAAUCAAAUACGAGAAAAAUGUGAAGCCAAUAAAUUGAAACUUGAACAAAUCCAGAUGGAAGCAAAGUGCUUAAGACAGGGGUUUCACGACAAUCUAAACCGCCUCACGCUCAUGUUUCAAAUCAUACAAGCAAGAGAGAACCAUGAUUUUGCCACACAAGAGGGCCUCACUCAGAAUCUCCGUAAGUUGAUGGCCAAAACCAAAGAAGAAAGUUAGUAUAGCUGCAAAAUGUUGAGGCUAUAUGGUGAGUGCCAAACCAUGGGAGGAAAUGAAAGUUUGAAAACCUCCAUAGAUCAUUGUUAUCAAGGUCACUCGCUUUAUCACUCCACUAUAAGUUAUCUUUAAUGAAUUUUGUAUAUUAAUUUUUAUCAAGUUACAUAUUUAUCUUGUAUCUAUUAUGUAUUUCAAUUUAAGUUUUUAUUUAUCUUGUUCAACAUAUCAAUUUACACUUCGUAUUAUAAAUAUCAUUCAAUACAUCUUCCUUUCAAUUCUAUUCUAUUCUUAUGAAAACUGUUUUAUAGACCAGCUUGCAAUGAGUUCAGCAACUUACCAGCUUGCAAUGAGAGCUGCAACUUUUAAAAUAGAUAAACUUAUAUAAUAGAUCUUUGUACUUAGUUAAAUAAUAGAAUUAGUGGGGGUUUGGAUUCUACCACAAAUUUAGUGCGAUGCAAUUGA
Long non-coding RNA from Durio zibethinus, 979 nucleotides. RefSeq lists it as uncharacterized. Lineage: Eukaryota; Viridiplantae; Streptophyta; Magnoliopsida; Malvales; Malvaceae. The record is from RefSeq and is a predicted model, not a curated record.